UGUGUAGGUGGCUGAGCAAGUCAAAGAUGAAAUCCCGAGUCUCAACUUCGGAACUGUCUUUGAAACUGUUCGGCUUGAGGACAGUUGAGGAGAGCGGAAUUCCCGGUGGAGCGGUGAAAUGCGUAGAUAUCGGGAGGAACACCAGAGGCGAAGGCGGUUCUCUAAACUAUUCCUGACACUGAGACACGAAAGCUAGGGGAGCGAACGGGAUUAGAUACCCCGGUAGUCCUAGCCUUAAACGAUGGACACUAGAUGUUCCUGCUUUUAUGCGGGAGUGUCGAAGCUAACGCGUUAAGUGUCCCGCCUGGGGAGUACGGUCGCAAGGCUGAA
This 330-nucleotide ribosomal RNA is filed under the name uncultured bacterium. RNAcentral describes it as "bacterial SSU rRNA". It matches the Rfam family "Bacterial small subunit ribosomal RNA", at positions 568 to 898 of the family's 1533-position model. The record is from RNAcentral.